GAAGCACCCCUAUGGAGUAAGACUUGCUUCAGUGGGACUUUGGUGCUCACUGAGUCUGCCCCUUACGUGUGUUACU
This is a non-coding RNA of Myotis lucifugus (little brown bat), 76 nucleotides long. NCBI's taxonomy places the organism in Eukaryota, Metazoa, Chordata, Mammalia, Chiroptera, Vespertilionidae. The record is from Rfam.